This 301-nucleotide ribosomal RNA is filed under the name uncultured bacterium. Its description in RNAcentral is "partial 16S ribosomal RNA". It matches the Rfam family "Bacterial small subunit ribosomal RNA", at positions 509 to 809 of the family's 1533-position model. The record is from RNAcentral.
CAGCCGCCACGGUAAUACGUAGGUGGCAAGCGUUGCCCGGAAUUAUUGGGCGUGAAGGGCUCGCAGGCGGUUUCUUAAGUCUGAUGUGAAAGCCCCCGGCUCAACCGGGGAGGGUCAUUGGAAACUGGGAAACUUGAGUGCAGAAGAGGAGAGUGGAAUUCCACGUGUAGCGGUGAAAUGCGUAGAGAUGUGGAGGAACACCAGUGGCGAAGGCGACUCUCUGGUCUGUAACUGACGCUGAGGAGCGAAAGCGUGGGGAGCGAACAGGAUUAGAUACCCCAGUAGUCCCUGUCUCUUAUAA